UAAAUGUCACUGAGCUUUUAGAGCUGCAAUUUGAGCAAAAAAGAACGGGUGCAGACAUAAUUUGUGUGUAGGUGGUAUCCCGAUCAAGAAGUAGUAGUAUAUGAUAUGAUUAGUUUUGCUGACACACGUUUUCCUCCCACACAAUAGAUUGUGACUCCAGGAACUCCUAAUCAAAUCAGCUAUUACUCUAUUUACAUUCAGCCUUUUACUUAGAGUAAAUUUGUCACCGGAUCCGCUAACUCAAAAUUCAGUAACUUUGAGCAUGAUAUCUCAAUCACCUAUCCCC
This 286-nucleotide long non-coding RNA is filed under the name Setaria viridis. Its description in RNAcentral is "long non-coding RNA (SVIR_LNC002733)". Lineage: Eukaryota; Viridiplantae; Streptophyta; Magnoliopsida; Poales; Poaceae. The record is from RNAcentral.